AUACAGCUGACGAGUCCUAAAUGGGACGAAACGCGCGUCCUAAAU
RNAcentral lists this non-coding RNA (45 nucleotides) under Schistosoma mattheei. The record is from RNAcentral. Lineage: Eukaryota; Metazoa; Platyhelminthes; Trematoda; Strigeidida; Schistosomatidae.